UCCCUCUCGGGGUUGCACCUGAAGAGUUUCCAGUACUCUACCAGUCUCGACUAUGGGAGGGAGAGUGAAGCAGAGGCAGACCCAUUCCAUUCUUAGCUUGGGCAGUGGCUAGUGAGUAGAAGGCAGUCUGCUACAGGU
Molecule: small nucleolar RNA, 138 nt
Organism: Tachyglossus aculeatus (Australian echidna)
Lineage: Eukaryota; Metazoa; Chordata; Mammalia; Monotremata; Tachyglossidae
Source: RefSeq, a predicted model, not a curated record